CGUCCCUCCCCGUCCGCCGACCACUCAAGACUACCGUACGGGGGCGAGGCAGUGGGGAAUCGUUGCGCAAUGGGCGAAAGGCCUGACGCAGCAACGCCGCGUGGAGGACGAAGGCUUUCUGUAGUUGUAAACUCCUUUCAGCAGGGACGAUUGUGACGGUACCUGCAGAAGAAGCACCGGCCAACUACGUGCCAGCAGCCGCGGUAAUUC
This 210-nucleotide ribosomal RNA is filed under the name uncultured bacterium. RNAcentral describes it as "partial 16S ribosomal RNA". It matches the Rfam family "Bacterial small subunit ribosomal RNA", at positions 301 to 526 of the family's 1533-position model. The record is from RNAcentral.